This is a long non-coding RNA of Hemiscyllium ocellatum (epaulette shark), 850 nucleotides long. RefSeq lists it as uncharacterized. Lineage: Eukaryota; Metazoa; Chordata; Chondrichthyes; Orectolobiformes; Hemiscylliidae. The record is from RefSeq and is a predicted model, not a curated record. The transcript has 5 exons.
GUUAGAGGGAAAGGUCCUGUUAUCAUGGACUCGCCAUUUAAUAGAUGGUAUCACUGAGAUGACAAAAAAAGUUAUCUCUUAACGGGAAGCGAAGGAGACCGAAUGACAACUGAAGCGUGACUAAAAGUUUUAAGAUUAUGGAAGUUUUUGAUAAGAUACGUUUUGAGAAGAUGUUUCUACUUACUGAGGAAGAUCAGAACUGGGAAGAUAACUAUAAAAUUGUCACCAAUAAAUCCAAUAGCAGCUUCUUUACCCAGAGAACGAUGAGAAUAUAGGACUCGAUGUUAAGCUUCUUACACUUUCUGCAUAGUUUUCAUGAUGGUGAAUGAUAAGAGGAAACAUGUUACCAACCUUACUGAACACACUGAGGAAUUCAAUAGUUCAGCCAGCAAUAUGUUCCACCAAGAGCUAGAAACUGCAAAUGAUGCCCGUUCAGGAUGGCAUGAGAAAAUAUUAAAUCACUUGAUGAUCAAAGGCGAUAAGACAUUUAUCAAGGGUAGCAUGUGGACUCCAACGUAAGCGAUGCUGUGUGAAUGGGUUGUAGAGACCCGAAAUGAAAGCAGAAUGGAGAUUGUUGUUAAACCAUUCAAGGAAUGUGGGAUAUCAAAUGCAAUCUCGCUCAGAAAUGAUAAUUUAUGGAAUGAUAUGGCUGAUGACGACGUGAUUGCUAAUAGUGAUGAUGAUCCAUAUCACAAUGACAUUGAAGAAGCCGAUUGAGAUGAGUUAUUUGGUUCUGAAGUCAAGGAGGAAGGUGAUUACAUGCUCAGAGAAUGUCCUGCUGCUUAGUAUUUCUAUGUAUUAUGAAAAAACAAUUUGAACUUUUGUAAAUAUGUUUGUUAAACCUUUGGUU